This 475-nucleotide ribosomal RNA is filed under the name uncultured Desulfobulbus sp. Its description in RNAcentral is "bacterial SSU rRNA". It matches the Rfam family "Bacterial small subunit ribosomal RNA", at positions 910 to 1382 of the family's 1533-position model. The record is from RNAcentral. Lineage: Bacteria; Pseudomonadati; Thermodesulfobacteriota; Desulfobulbia; Desulfobulbales; Desulfobulbaceae.
UUGACGGGGCCCGCGACAAGCGGAGGAGCAUGUGGUUAAUUCGAUGCAACGCGAAGAACCUUACCUGGUCUUGACAUCCCGGAGACCCUUAGGAACUAGGGGUGCUUCCAUCUGGAAGAAUCUGGAGACAGGUGCUGCAUGGCUGUCGUCAGCUCGUGUCGUGAGAUGUUGGGUUAAGUCCCGCAACGAGCGCAACCCUUGCCUUUAGUUGCCAGCAGUUCGGCUGGGCACUCUAAAGGGACUGCCGGUGUUAAACCGGAGGAAGGUGGGGAUGACGUCAAGUCCUCAUGGCCUUUAUGACCAGGGCUACACACGUACUACAAUGGCCGAUACAAAGGGCAGCGACACUGCGAGGUGAAGCCAAUCCCGUAAAAUCGGUCUCAGUCCGGAUUGGAGUCUGCAACUCGACUCCAUGAAGUUGGAAUCGCUAGUAAUCGUGGAUCAGCAUGCCACGGUGAAUACGUUCCCGGGCCUU